This 257-nucleotide ribosomal RNA is filed under the name uncultured eukaryote. RNAcentral describes it as "partial small subunit ribosomal RNA". It matches the Rfam family "Eukaryotic small subunit ribosomal RNA", at positions 587 to 846 of the family's 1831-position model. The record is from RNAcentral.
AGCUCCAAUAGCGUAUAUUAAAGUUGUUGCAGUUAAAAAGCUCGUAGUCGAAUUUCAGGGCGGGGCGCACGGUCUGCCGAUGGGUAUGCACUGUGCGGCCCGCCUUUCCUGCUGGGGUCCGCGUGUGCACUUAACUGUGCGUGCGCGGGGAACAGCGCGUUUACUUUGAGAAAAUCAGAGUGUUCAAAGCAGGCCAAGAUUGCUCUUGCAUGGAUUAGCAUGGGAUAAUGAAAUAGGACUUUGGUGCUUAUUUUGUU